GGAUCUAAAGAGAGUAUAUUCCAAAUAAGCAUUGUGAGGGAAUCAAAAAUUCUUUCUCUUCAUUAUACAGUGAAUUCUAUUUGGAAUUUGGAAUAUUGACUCUUAUUUGGCCUGAAGUUGACGAUGUCUGAAUCCUAUAAACCGAUCUGGAAUGUGUUUGCAAAUGCUAUUAGAAAUACUGAUGGUAAUAGAAGAUGAUGGAGUACUUUCAUGGCUGAAGUGGUUUUCCCAAUUUGCACCACACUGAAACACUCUAUGAUUGAUUUUCUGCAGCAUAUUCAGUAAACACAUUGCAAAUGAAGAGGAAAAUUGUGGGUGAGUUGUGAAGCCUGCUUCAUCAAAAUUGAAUUUCAGCCACUUGCAAAUACCUCCCGUGGCCACAUAUGACUCACAGCUGUAUCCACUGAUGUCAGAAAUGGUCAAGAAAGAAAAUUAUAUGGAGUUCUUUCAGAAUAAUGCAACAUUUUUCAAUGCCUUUGAGAACUAUUCAGGUUUAUUUUGCACCUUUUCUGAAUUAAAUAAUUAUUGCAAUCUGAUCCAUUGAAGUUUAUGUUUCUAUCACAUAGCCAAAAAGAUACAAUAGGUUUUAUUAUAUUUUAAUCCUUGUUAGUAUCCAGAGUCGCAUUAUUCAGAUCGGCAAUCAUCUUAAUCGAGAUGUAAAUAAGAAUGCUCACAUAUAUAAUCUGGCCCACAGAAAUAAAGCAAGAAAUAAUAAUAAUAAUAAUAAUAUUG
Non-coding RNA from Thamnophis sirtalis, 732 nucleotides. NCBI's taxonomy places the organism in Eukaryota, Metazoa, Chordata, Lepidosauria, Squamata, Natricidae. The record is from RefSeq and is a predicted model, not a curated record.